RNAcentral lists this ribosomal RNA (484 nucleotides) under uncultured bacterium. Its description in RNAcentral is "partial 16S ribosomal RNA". It matches the Rfam family "Bacterial small subunit ribosomal RNA", at positions 30 to 507 of the family's 1533-position model. The record is from RNAcentral.
AUUGAACGCUGGCGGCAGGCCUAACACAUGCAAGUCGAGCGGAUGAAGGGAGCUUGCUCCUGGAUUCAGCGGCGGACGGGUGAGUAAUGCCUAGGAAUCUGCCUGGUAGUGGGGGAUAACGUCCGGAAACGGGCGCUAAUACCGCAUACGUCCUGAGGGAGAAAGUGGGGGAUCUUCGGACCUCACGCUAUCAGAUGAGCCUAGGUCGGAUUAGCUAGUUGGUGGGGUAAAGGCCUACCAAGGCGACGAUCCGUAACUGGUCUGAGGGGAUGAUCAGUCACACUGGAACUGAGACACGGUCCAGACUCCUACGGGAGGCAGCAGUGGGGAAUAUUGGACAAUGGGCGAAAGCCUGAUCCAGCCAUGCCGCGUGUGUGAAGAAGGUCUUCGGAUUGUAAAGCACUUUAAGUUGGGAGGAAGGGCAGUAAGUGAAUACCUUGCUGUUUUGACGGUACCAACAGAAUAAGCACCGGCUAACUUCGUG